GCGCUCCCUCUGGCAGCACAUGUACUAAAAUUGGAAUAAUGCAGAAAAGACUAGCGUGGUUCUUGUGCAAGGAUAACACAUAAAAUAAUGGAUAAUACAAUUUCAAA
Small nuclear RNA from Hyaena hyaena (striped hyena), 107 nucleotides. NCBI's taxonomy places the organism in Eukaryota, Metazoa, Chordata, Mammalia, Carnivora, Hyaenidae. The record is from RefSeq and is a predicted model, not a curated record.